CUAUACAUGCAGUCGAGCGGACAGAUGGGAGCUUGCUCCCUGAUGUUAGCGGCGGACGGGUGAGUAACACGUGGGUAACCUGCCUGUAAGACUGGGAUAACUCCGGGAAACCGGGGCUAAUACCGGAUGCUUGUUUGAACCGCAUGGUUCAGACAUAAAAGGUGGCUUCGGCUACCACUUACAGAUGGACCCGCGGCGCAUUAGCUAGUUGGUGAGGUAACGGCUCACCAAGGCGACGAUGCGUAGCCGACCUGAGAGGGUGAUCGGCCACACUGGGACUGAGACACGGCCCAGACUCCUACGGGAGGCAGCAGUAGGGAAUCUUCCGCAAUGGACGAAAGUCUGACGGAGCAACGCCGCGUGAGUGAUGAAGGUUUUCGGAUCGUAAAGCUCUGUUGUUAGGGAAGAACAAGUGCCGUUCAAAUAGGGCGGCACCUUGACGGUACCUAACCAGAAAGCCACGGCUAACUACGUGCCAGCAGCCGCGGUAAUACGUAGGUGGCAAGCGUUGUCCGGAAUUAUUGGGCGUAAAGGGCUCGCAGGCGGUUUCUUAAGUCUGAUGUGAAAGCCCCCGGCUCA
This 579-nucleotide ribosomal RNA is filed under the name Bacillus sp. 10510(2011). RNAcentral's name for it is "bacterial SSU rRNA". It matches the Rfam family "Bacterial small subunit ribosomal RNA", at positions 49 to 611 of the family's 1533-position model. The record is from RNAcentral. Lineage: Bacteria; Bacillati; Bacillota; Bacilli; Caryophanales; Bacillaceae.